This 503-nucleotide ribosomal RNA is filed under the name uncultured bacterium. Its description in RNAcentral is "partial 16S ribosomal RNA". It matches the Rfam family "Bacterial small subunit ribosomal RNA", at positions 30 to 523 of the family's 1533-position model. The record is from RNAcentral.
AUUGAACGCUGGCGGCAGGCUUAACACAUGCAAGUCGAGCGGGGUGAUGGUGCUUGCACUAUCACUUAGCGGCGGACGGGUGAGUAAUGCUUAGGAAUCUGCCUAUUAGUGGGGGACAACAUCUCGAAAGGGAUGCUAAUACCGCAUACGUCCUACGGGAGAAAGCAGGGGAUCACUUGUGACCUUGCGCUAAUAGAUGAGCCUAGGUCGGAUUAGCUAGUUGGUGGGGUAAAGGCCUACCAAGGCGACGACCUGUAGCGGGUCUGAGAGGAUGGUCCGCCACACUGGGAAUGAGAACCGGCCAAGACUCCUACGGGAGGCAGCAGUGGGGAAUAUUGGACAAGGGGGGGAACCCUGAUCCAGCCAUGCCGCGUGUGUGAAGAAGGCCUUAUGGUUGUAAAGCACUUUAAGCGAGGAGGAGGCUCUUUUGGUUAAUACCCAAGAUGAGUGGACGUUACUUGCAGAAUAAGCACCGGCUAACUCUGUGCCAGCCGCCGCCGUAA